GUCUGCAGAUUUGUCUGUAAAUCUGCAGAUUUGGGGUAUAGUGCUGCAGACAUUUUUUGUUGUGCAGACUUUUGCAGACUUUUGAAAUUCUCGCAGAUUUUUACAGUCUUUUGAAAUUCUCGCUGACUUUCAUCUAUAUUUACAGAAAAAUUUGAAAUUUCCGCGACCUUUUUUUUUUUUUUGCUCGCCAAGUCAGUUUUGCAUGUCAUACUUUAUAGAGAAAUUGCUGCCAGCAAGCCAUACUUGCUGACUGCAGAUUUUUUUUCAGAUUUACAGACCCUGUCUGCAGACAUUUGAAAUUUUUACCUGGCAUCUCUGGCUGUCAGCAAGGGCUGAGUAAAAAUAUAGCAGUCCGAGACUGCAUUGCUAUUUGGAAGCUAAAACUAUCAACAAGUGUUUUUUUACUGGAUCUCAACCGAAAUUACUCCUUGGGUCUCUAAGGUCGUCGUUCGCUUUGGAGUCCGCUUUUACUUAUUUGACUGGUAUAAAAUAAAGCAAAAUCAAGGACGAGUUCAGGUGAUUUCAAGGAGUUAACUCAAAUAAUUUAUAUAAAGGAGGCAAAGGUGCUCGAAUCCUGACGGGAAUAUAUUUGGCAAGUGAAAGGAGGCGAAGGCGCUCGUGGAUUUAAAAUAACAACGAGGAUAUUGAUUAACGUAAAUAAUUCAGUGCCUAUAGGAAAUGGCUCAAAUGAGCAUGGCUUCACUUAUUGAACCUUAUAGAAAGGGCACUCCUUUCAGUGACUGGAUAGAUCGUUUAGAAUAUUGUUUUAUGGCAAAUACGGUGGCAGACAAACUAAAGAAGGCUCAUUUUAUAACUUUAGGCGGUCCGCUUGUAAAGGGUGAUUUUUUAAGAGCUUGAGAACUUUUUUAAACAAUAAAACGCAUAAAAUUUGCAAAAUCUCAUCGGUUCUUUAUUUUAAACGUUAGAUUGGUACAUGACAUUUACUUUUUGAAGAUAAUUUCAUUUAAAUGUUGACCGCGGCUGCGUCUUAGGUGGUCCAUUCGGAAAGUCCAAUUUUGGGCAACUUUUUCGAGCAUUUCGGCCGGAAUAGCCCGAAUUUCUUCGGAAAUGUUGUCUUCCAAAGCUGGAAUAGUUACUGGCUUAUUUCUGUAGACUUUAGACUUGACGUAGCCCCACAAAAAAUAGUCUAAAGGCGUCAAAUCGCAUGAUCUUGGUGGCCAACUUACCGGUCCAUUUCUUGAGAUGAAUUGUUCUCCGAAGUUUUCCCUCAAAAUGGCCAUAGAAUCGCGAGCUGUGUGGCAUGUAGCGCCAUCUUGUUGAAACCACAUGUCAACCAAGUUCAGUUCUUCCAUUUUUG
This is a long non-coding RNA of Malaya genurostris, 1318 nucleotides long. RefSeq lists it as uncharacterized. The record is from RefSeq and is a predicted model, not a curated record. The transcript is spliced from 3 exons. Lineage: Eukaryota; Metazoa; Arthropoda; Insecta; Diptera; Culicidae.